UGCGGUCCAAAGAUAGCUUAAGUCGGCGUGUUCACGUCGCUCCCGUAGUCGUAUCCAGAAAGGAAACCCUUCUCGCUUUUUCCUCUCUCUCGGUCGAAACCUCGAGUCCUCCUCUCCAUCGGCGACUCGCGGAAUCCUUCAGCAGAUUUCUUGAUUCGUGGUGGAGUUCGCUUUGUGCCCAUCGAUUGGGCGCUAAUUUUGUGAGAUUUGUAAGUGGUUCCACAUCUCUUCAUCGCUUGGUGAAUUCUAGGGUUUCGUCGCUCCUGGGUUUGUUUCUUGCUUUCGCCCCCUUUUCGAUUUCUAGGGUUUCUUUUGGUCAGUAGUCGGAUUUUUUUGGGGUUUCCUCACGUUAUGGCUGCUGGUCGACAUGGUGGGUACCGGGAUCAUGAGUUCAGGGACCGGGAAGCAGAUGUAGAGGUCUCCAGGAGGAAGAAUUAUUAUCGGGAUCGGCUCCGUGAUGGGGCUCGCGAUAGGGACCGUGAUCACGGUGGCCGGGAUAUGCGUGAUAGGGCUAGUACCUGGCAAAGAGGCAUCCGGAAGAUGGAAGCGGUGAAUGGCUCCUGUCGCUCCCCCUUGUCGAGCAAUUCCAGUGGCGGAAGCGGGAAAAGUCAGAAAAGGAUUCGCUUAUCUGCGAGAGAUGUCGAACGUGAAGCUGGGGAGUUGUCUAGUGGGAGUGGAUCGGAUGAUGCUGAAGCACCUCUUUCAGAGGUCAGGGAGAAUGGGACUCAGAAUUAUGAGACUGGUGAUCCUUCCAUGUCUACUGGGAAACGGAAAUUUUCUCCGAUUGUUUGGGAUAAGGAUGAAAAUAAACAAUCCACGGUUGUAAUGUCCAGAGUUAAGAGCAGCAAUCUCGAAAACGUUACCUUGCCUCCACCGCCUCCAUUGCCUCCAAAUUUCAUACCACCACGGUCUAUUACCAUUGUUCAACCGUCUGUUGGGGAUACACUGCCUUUAGAUGUAGAUGUCCAUGUAGAGUCAGCUCGGGAACAUCUGCUGAAUAAUAGUCAGGAGACCACGUUGCUAGAUGACUAUGAAAAGGAACUUUCACCUGCUCGGAGUAUUUCUAUUUCCAGAUGGGCAGACGGAAACUAUACAUUCCACGAUGCUGAAGAUGAAUAUUUUGAGGAUGCUGUGCCCAAAAGAAGAAAGACUGUCUUAUCUGAUUCUGAAGGCCAAAAAUCGCAGGAGACACCUACUCCUGAGCUAGGUGAGAUUAUCAUGAGAGAAGAUUCUGUAGUGGCUUUGUCUAAGUUGUCUGAUUCAGAAGGAGAGGAUGGAGAUGAUGACCAGGGGUUUGAGGUAGAUAGGAAUGAUUAUAUGGUGGCCAAUGGCAAUGAGUCUAAUGCAGACACAAAUGAUCAAUUGUCUGAAACCGACUCUGAAUCUGAGGACAUUAGGGCCAAGAUGUCAGAGCCCAGACAGCCACCCCAAAGAUGUAUAAACAUGCUCCAAGGUUGUAGAAGCGUUGAUGAGUUUGAGAGGCUGAACAAAAUAAAUGAAGGCACGUAUGGUGUUGUGUACAGAGCAAAGGAUAAAAAGACUGGGGAGAUAGUGGCACUGAAAAAAGUGAAAAUGGAGAAGGAGAGGGAGGGAUUUCCACUGACCUCACUUAGGGAGAUAAAUAUUUUGCUUUCUUUUCAUCAUCCUUCGAUUGUGGAUGUUAAGGAAGUUGUAGUUGGUAGCAGUCUUGAUAGUAUUUUUAUGGUUAUGGAAUACAUGGAACAUGAUUUAAAGGGGCUGAUGGAGACCAUGAAGCAGCCAUUUAAUCAGAGUGAGGUAAAAUGCUUAAUGUUGCAGCUGUUUUCAGGUGUCAAGUACCUUCAUGACAACUGGGUACUCCAUAGGGAUUUGAAGACAUCAAAUAUUCUGUUAAAUAAUCGUGGAGAGUUGAAGAUAUGUGAUUUUGGUUUGUCUCGCCAAUAUGGCAGCCCAUUGAAGCCAUACACUCACUUAGUGGUGACAUUAUGGUACAGGUCACCUGAACUUCUAUUAGGAGCUAAGGAGUAUUCAACUGCUAUUGACAUGUGGUCCUUAGGGUGCAUAAUGGCCGAACUUCUAGCAAAGGAACCCUUAUUCAGUGGAAAAACCGAGUUUGAUCAACUUGACAAGAUAUUCAGGAUGCUUGGUACACCCAGCGAAAAUAUUUGGCCUGGAUUUUCUAAAUUACCUGGUGCUAAAGUUAAUUUUGUCAAGCAACCGUAUAAUAAACUACGAGAAAAGUUUCCUCCCAUUUCUUUUUCUGGACAUCCAACCCUGUCUGAAGCUGGAAUUGACUUGUUAAACAAACUUCUGACAUAUGACCCAGAGAAGCGAAUAACAGCGGAGGCUGCUCUUAAUCAUCAGUGGUUCUAUGAGGUUCCUUUGCCAAAGUCAAAGGAUUUUAUGCCUACUUUUCCAGCUCAACAUGCUCAAGACAGGCGUCUGCGAAGAAUAAUGAAGAGCCCUGAUCCACUUUCAGAACAACGGAAGAAGGAAUUGCAACAGGCUGAACUAGGUGUUUCUAGUCUCUUUGGUUAGAGGAUAAGUACAAGACAUUUCUGGUGGUCUUUGCUUUAGCUGGUUGAUGCGGUUGGAGAUUGUUGCUUUUAGUAACCAAGGAAAAGGUCAAAACUUCGUACUCAAAAGAAAUUCAGCUACUUUUUGGAUAACAUUGGUUUACACAAAUUCGUUACAGAUUACUUCAAUCUCGGUGUGGUGGUGUUGUGAUGACUCUUUUGAGUGUGGGGAUCGAGAGUGGUGGGCUUUGUUAUAGUGGGUAUUCCUAUUAAAGCAUAACUCAUCGUCCUGGGCACGAUUUUAUAUUUGGCUUUCCCCUGUGAACUAUCUCUUAUGCAAGGAAGUGCGGUGCAACGAUACACUGUUCGGUAAAGCUGGUAAUCUGAAAUAUAAAAGUGCAAGACGUCUGCGCAUCUUAAAGGUGAAGCUGAUCAUUUUUUUUUAAUUAUCACGGCCAGUAGCAACAGUUUUGAAUUCAGUUUAUUAUAUUUUGUUUUGGCAACGUUGCUGGAGAACUUCGACAACGUAUUUUGCUGGAGAAAAGUGACUUCACGGAUCAGAAAGGCAAUUUAUCUCGAUAGGGGCAUACAUUUGUUUUAGAAAGGAGAUGAUCGCUUGGCAAAAAGGAGAGAGAGAGAGAGAGAGAGAUUCUUGUUCAACGAAGGAGACGUGUCAGUGUGAGCAGGAGCAUUGGUCGGUGGCAGACGCAGCCUUGUAGCUACGUUCCCAUUGGUCCGUCGGCGGGGCCUCAGCAUGCGGAGCGUGGCGAGGGUGCUUCUCUCUCUUGUCCCCCUUGAUCUGCUUCAGGCCAUGUUUCAGCGCCGGCACCAACGCCUCCAUGCACUCGGCAACAGCGUUUGGGUUCCCGGGCAUGUUGAUGAUCUAAAGAUGCCAACAGAAUCUCAUCAAUAUAAGUCAAAUCAAAAAAUUGGUUUCUGCUUGCUGACGCAUGGAGAACAUGUGAAAGGGAAUUUAGAAACAAUGGUUCCUAAAUAUAUUAACUACUAUUAGUAGAGUAAGAUUAGGAGGAGCAUUACUAAUGUUGAUCCUCUGAUCCCAGCUGCAGCCCGUGAAAGCAUCGCGAAUGGUGUCACCUGUUUGCCCCAGCCCAGUGAAGAACACCAUAGUUAGACAGACGACUUCAGGACAAUAUCCAAAAUAAAUCAAGUCAUCGGAUACCUUACCUUGAGACUCUCUUGAAGCAUCACGAAUGAAAGACCAGGUGUUUCUUUCUGGAUCACCGCCUUUGUAGCCUCAGGUGUCACAUCCCUUGGAGUACAGCCAGUGCCACCUAUCACAGAACAAAAUAAAGAUGACGAGAAAUGAUGCAUGAA
This is an RNA transcript of Musa acuminata AAA Group (dessert banana), 3830 nucleotides long. It is a transcript of the gene named cyclin-dependent kinase G-2-like, with no coding region annotated. The record is from RefSeq and is a predicted model, not a curated record. The transcript has 14 exons. NCBI's taxonomy places the organism in Eukaryota, Viridiplantae, Streptophyta, Magnoliopsida, Zingiberales, Musaceae.